This 271-nucleotide ribosomal RNA is filed under the name uncultured archaeon. Its description in RNAcentral is "partial 16S ribosomal RNA". It matches the Rfam family "Archaeal small subunit ribosomal RNA", at positions 477 to 747 of the family's 1478-position model. The record is from RNAcentral.
CAGCGCCACGAGUGGCAACCGCGAUUAUUGGGCCUAAAGCGUCCGUAGCCGGUUUGGUAAAUCUUUUGUGAAAUUGUACAGCUCAACUGUACAGCGUGCAAGAGACACUGCCAAACUCGAGACCGGGAGGAGUCAGAAGUAUUCCAGGGGGAGCGGUAAAAUGCUAUAAUCCAAAGAGGACCACCUGUGGCGAAGGCGUCUUGCUAGAACGGAUCCGACGGUGAGGGACGAAAGCCAGGGGAGCGAUCCGGAUUAGAGACCCGAGUAGUCC